Molecule: ribosomal RNA, 776 nt
Filed under: uncultured Neocallimastigales
Lineage: Eukaryota; Fungi; Neocallimastigomycota; Neocallimastigomycetes; Neocallimastigales
Description: partial large subunit ribosomal RNA
Rfam family: Eukaryotic large subunit ribosomal RNA
Source: RNAcentral
AUAUCAGUCAUGCAUAGCAUAUCAAUAAGCGGAGGAAAAGAAACUAUCAAGGAUUCCCUUAGUAACGGCGAGUGAAGCGGGAAGAGCUCAAAUUUGAAAUCUUCAAGGUUCUACCUUGACGAAUUGUAGUUUAUAGAAGUGUUUUCUGUUAGUAGAGUGGCAAAAGUUCUUUGGAAUAGGACAUCAUAGAGGGUGAGAAUCCCGUAUUUGGUCAUUCUUUCUAGCUUUGUGAUACACUUUCAACGAGUCGGAUUGUUUGGGAAUGCAGUCCAAAAUGGGUGGUAAAUUUCAUCUAAAGCUAAAUAUUGGCGAGAGACCGAUAGCGAACAAGUACCGUGAGGGAAAGAUGAAAAGAACUUUGAAAAGAGAGUUAAACAGUACGUGAAAUUGUCAAAAGGGAAGCGUUUGACACCAGUGUUGUUUUUCCGAAAAUCAAUUACGAAUGUUUUAGUUUUGGAGAAGUUAUGACUUCAUCGGCUUGCUUCUCUCUUUACUGAAACUUUCUUAAUGCACUUUUUCGGUUAACAAGUCAACAUCAAUUUCUUUUGUUGUAAAAGGGUAUGAGGAAGGUGGCUUUCUUUUCGGAGAAAGUGUUUAUAGCCUUGUACCUCUGCAAUCGGAGAGAUUGAGGUCUGCAGCGUAGAUCCUUCGGGGUUAGAUACAUUUGUGCUAAGUUAUAGCUUUUCAUAGACAACUUGUUGACUAUGUUAAGUCUUGUAGCUUACUCGCUUAUGCUAUUUUACCUACGCUUAGGAUGUUGAUGUGAUACUGCGAGC